AAAUUAUAAACCUCUCACAGCUAUGGGUAGGAAAUAUACUCUUAUUCUUACCCAAACAAGAGAUAGAGGCAGUUACAAAAGAUAAAAUAGGUAACUUUGAUUAUACAACACAAAAAAAACUUCUGCACAGACAAAAUUAAUGCACAUAGGAUAAGGGAAGAGGUCAAAUGGGAAAAAAUACAUUGUCGGUGGAUCUAUGAAAGGGUACAACCUUCUUGGAACUCAAUUUGAAAUUAUGCAAAUAAAGUGACUAAAAUGUCCAUACCCCUUGAACCAGAGACUCCAUUACCAGGAUUAUACUCCAAGGAAGCCAUUGAUAAGAAGAAAGUCUUCAUAUAUACCAAUAUAUUUAUAACAGUACUUUUUGUGAUAGCCAAGAACUGGAAACAAAGUAGAUGCCCAUCAACUGGGGAGUGGCUAAACAAAUUAUAGUUCAUGAAAGCAAUGGAAUAUUACUGUACUGCAAGAAAUUAUAUUUGUACUCAGGGAAAAUUAGUAUGAUCUUUCAGGAGAAGAGACGGAUAUUCAACGAAAUAGGGGACUUCCAAACCUUCCUGAUAAAAAGACCAGAGCUCAACAGAAAAUUUGAUCUUCAAAUACAACACUCAAGAGAGACAUAAAAAGGACUGGCACCCUAUCCACUGUGCUGAUGGGAUGAUGGGACCUGGACCCUGAACUUUCCCACAAUGGGAUUUUUGUCUUCCAGAUUACUGGCCUUUCACCUACUGUUGGGUACCAGUGGGUACCAGCCCACGCUCACCUAUCAUCCCCUGGAUGCAGCCUUUACUCAGUUCCAGCCAACCUCCUCCCUGGAACGCCCUCAAGGCAGGGCCAGCUCUACCGACCUUUGCCAGCAUGAAGCAGUUGCUGAGAUCUUCGCCCUUUACCUCAAAAGAUUUUGGGUCCCAUUUGUUUGAGUCCUGUGCUUUGUUGGCACUCAGCCUGGAAUUCCUGCCUCCUUGGUUGAUAACUGAAUGGGUGUGAAAUUACCUAGGCCACCAUCCCUAGCCUGGGGACACCCAGGCCAACUGGCCACAUGCACUUCUGCCCCUUCCUUCCUUCUACCCACCUGGAUCUGCAUCUGAACUGAACUUCUAGAUUUUCUCCAAACAUUGAGGAAGUUACUCCACUUAGCUUUAGAGCUAUUGACCUAGGAUUGAGCCCCCUUGAGUGGAAGGAGAGUGAUAAAUUUGCCUAGUCUGGCCCCAGACCAGCUAUCAUAGUAUGUAUCUUAUUCAGCCUUCCAGCCAGACUGCCUUGUGAAAUGGCUAACUACCACCUCACCUACCCAUAUGCUGUAAGUGUUUAACAAGUGGCUUUCUUUCCAGGUUAGGAGGGGCGAGGGAUUUGUGCACAACACACUUCUGAGUUUAAUCUGCAUUAUGGACAUUUUCUCCUUUACUUUAUGAAGUCUAGACAAUCAACAAAACAGUAAGUCAAGCCCUAAUUUAUGUUUGCCAUUUUCUGAGAUGUAAAUAUUCACACUGAUAAUUUAACAAUCAGUGGGACUGGCUUCAGCACCGCACCCUCCCACCCCCCAUACUCCUUCCCCACCUCUUAACUCUGGACACAGUAAUCAAAUCAAUGCUACAACAUAGCUUCUGGAGAGGGCAUAUCAGAUGACUGCCCUAUGGAUCAAUUACCCAGUCUUCUGACUCCCCAGAGCAAAGCCCCCUUCCCUGACUAUCAAAUCCUUCUGUGUCAUCUGCCCCUUAGAAUGUAGAUUCCCUAAUUGAAGGGGACUGGAAGAGGGUUGGGUAGAAAGUAGAGAACGUGAACCUGAAAAUAAAAUUGAAUUUUAAAAAAAAAUUACA
This 1814-nucleotide long non-coding RNA is filed under the name Vombatus ursinus (common wombat). Its description in RNAcentral is "lncRNA (ENSVURG00010009584.1)". Lineage: Eukaryota; Metazoa; Chordata; Mammalia; Diprotodontia; Vombatidae. The record is from RNAcentral.